This 417-nucleotide ribosomal RNA is filed under the name uncultured bacterium. RNAcentral describes it as "bacterial SSU rRNA". It matches the Rfam family "Bacterial small subunit ribosomal RNA", at positions 355 to 787 of the family's 1533-position model. The record is from RNAcentral.
UGGGGGAUAUUGCACAAUGGGGGGAACCCUGAUGCAGCGACGCCGCGUGAGGGAAGACGGUUUUCGGAUUGUAAACCUCUGUCUUUAGGGACGAAAAAAAUGACGGUACCUAAAGAGGAAGCCACGGCUAACUACGUGCCAGCAGCCGCGGUAAUACGUAGGUGGCAAGCGUUGUCCGGAAUUACUGGGUGUAAAGGGAGCGUAGGCGGGGAGGCAAGUUGAAUGUUUAAACUAUCGGCUCAACUGAUAGUCGCGUUCAAAACUGCCACUCUUGAGUGCAGUAGAGGUAGGCGGAAUUCCUAGUGUAGCGGUGAAAUGCGUAGAUAUUAGGAGGAACACCAGUGGCGAAGGCGGCCUACUGGGCUGUAACUGACGCUGAGGCUCGAAAGCGUGGGUAGCAAACAGGAUUAGAUACCC